This 223-nucleotide unclassified non-coding RNA is filed under the name uncultured Archaeorhizomycetales. Its description in RNAcentral is "sequence contains 5.8S rRNA gene, ITS2, 28S rRNA gene". Lineage: Eukaryota; Fungi; Ascomycota; Archaeorhizomycetes. The record is from RNAcentral.
AACGCACAUUGCGCCUCCUGUUACAGGGAGGCAUGCCUGUCUGAGCGUCAUUUAUAUCCAAUAGAGCCUGCAUGGCUCUGUCCUGGGCCCCGCCGUUCGGCGCCGCCUUGAAACCAUCGGUCUAACGAGCGGACGAGCCCCCUUCGGACGCAACCGUUCGGCGACCUUAAACACCUCUCUGACCUGUGACCUCAGAUCAGGUAGGGCUACCGCCUGAACUUAA